GGGUUGUGAGGUUAAGCGACUAAGCGUACACGGUGGAUGCCCUGGCAGUCAGAGGCGAUGAAGGACGUGCUAAUCUGCGAUAAGCGCCGGUAAGGUGAUAUGAACCGUUAUAACCGGCGAUUUCCGAAUGGGGAAACCCAGUGUGAUUCGUCACACUAUCAUUACGUGAAUACAUAGCGUAAUGAAGCGAACCGGGGGAACUGAAACAUCUAAGUACCCCGAGGAAAAGAAAUCAACCGAGAUUCCCCCAGUAGCGGCGAGCGAACGGGGAGGAGCCCAGAGCCUGAAUCAGCAUGUGUGUUAGUGGAAGCGUCUGGAAAGGCGCGCGAUACAGGGUGACAGCCCCGUACACAAAAGCGCAUGUGCUGUGAGCUCGAUGAGUAGGGCGGGACACGUGGUAUCCUGUCUGAAUAUGGGGGGACCAUCCUCCAAGGCUAAAUACUCCUGACUGACCGAUAGUGAACCAGUACCGUGAGGGAAAGGCGAAAAGAACCCCGGCGAGGGGAGUGAAAAAGAACCUGAAACCGUGUACGUACAAGCAGUGGGAGCCCCACCACUAAGCCAGUGGUGAACUCCACAUACGCAUCCUUUGCUGAGGAUACGGUUAACGGAGCGAAAGCGACGUUCAACCGCAAAAGAAGCAGAGGGGGCUUAGUGGUGGGGUGACUGCGUACCUUUUGUAUAAUGGGUCAGCGACUUAUAUUCUGUAGCAAGGUUAACCGAAUAGGGGAGCCGCAGGGAAACCGAGUCUUAAUUGGGCGUUAAGUUGCAGGGUAUAGACCCGAAACCCGGUGAUCUAGCCAUGGGCAGGUUGAAGGUUGGGUAACACUAACUGGAGGACCGAACCGACUAAUGUUGAAAAAUUAGCGGAUGACCUGUGGCUGGGGGUGAAAGGCCAAUCAAACCGGGAGAUAGCUGGUUCUCCCCGAAAGCUAUUUAGGUAGCGCCUCGUGAAUUCAUCUCCGGGGGUAGAGCACUGUUUCGGCUAGGGGGCCAUCCCGGCUUACCAACCCGAUGCAAACUGCGAAUACCGGAGAAUGUUAUCACGGGAGACACACGGCGGGUGCUAACGUCCGUCGUGAAGAGGGAAACAACCCAGACCGCCAGCUAAGGUCCCAAAGUCAUGGUUAAGUGGGAAACGAUGUGGGAAGGCCCAGACAGCCAGGAUGUUGGCUUAGAAGCAGCCAUCAUUUAAAGAAAGCGUAAUAGCUCACUGGUCGAGUCGGCCUGCGCGGAAGAUGUAACGGGGCUAAACCAUGCACCGAAGCUGCGGCAGCGACGCUGAUGCGUUGUUGGGUAGGGGAGCGUUCUGUAAGCCUGUGAAGGUGUGUCGUGAGGCAUGCUGGAGGUAUCAGAAGUGCGAAUGCUGACAUAAGUAACGAUAAAGCGGGUGAAAAGCCCGCUCGCCGGAAGACCAAGGGUUCCUGUCCAACGUUAAUCGGGGCAGGGUGAGUCGACCCCUAAGGCGAGGCCGAAAGGCGUAGUCGAUGGGAAACGGGUUAAUAUUCCCGUACUUGGUGUUACUGCGAAGGGGGGACGGAGAAGGCUAUGUUGGCCGGGCGACGGUUGUCCCGGUUUAAGCGUGUAGGUGUGUGUUCCAGGUAAAUCCGGUUCACUUUAACACUGAGGCGUGAUGACGAGGCACUACGGUGCUGAAGCAACAAAUGCCCUGCUUCCAGGAAAAGCCUCUAAGCAUCAGGUAACAUCAAAUCGUACCCCAAACCGACACAGGUGGUCAGGUAGAGAAUACCAAGGCGCUUGAGAGAACUCGGGUGAAGGAACUAGGCAAAAUGGUGCCGUAACUUCGGGAGAAGGCACGCUGACAC
Molecule: ribosomal RNA, 1826 nt
Filed under: Salmonella enterica
Lineage: Bacteria; Pseudomonadati; Pseudomonadota; Gammaproteobacteria; Enterobacterales; Enterobacteriaceae
Description: partial 23S ribosomal RNA
Rfam family: Bacterial large subunit ribosomal RNA
Source: RNAcentral